CGUAGGGUGCAAGCGUUAAUCGGAAUUACUGGGCGUAAAGCGUGCGCAGGCGGUUUUGUAAGUCAGAUGUGAAAUCCCCGAGCUCAACUUGGGAACUGCGUUUGAAACUACAAGACUAGAAUAUGUCAGAGGGGGUAGAAUUCCACGUGUAGCAGUGAAAUGCGUAGAGAUGUGGAGGAAUACCAAUGGCGAAGGCAGCCCCCUGGGAUAAUAUUGACGCUCAUGCACGAAAGCGUGGGGAGCAAACAGGAUUAGAUACCCUGGUAGUCCACGCCCUAAACGAUGUCUACUAGUUGUUGGUGGAGUAAAAUCCAUGAGUAACGCAGCUAACGCGUGAAGUAGACCGCCUGGGGAGUACGGUCGCAAGAUUA
RNAcentral lists this ribosomal RNA (371 nucleotides) under uncultured organism. RNAcentral describes it as "bacterial SSU rRNA". It matches the Rfam family "Bacterial small subunit ribosomal RNA", at positions 526 to 896 of the family's 1533-position model. The record is from RNAcentral.